GAGGUUAUAGCUCAAUUGGUAGAGUGCAUGUGUUAACAUGCAUGAGGUCCUGGGUUCAAUCCCCAGUACCUCCA
This 74-nucleotide transfer RNA is filed under the name Camelus ferus (Wild Bactrian camel). It matches the Rfam family "tRNA". From Rfam's summary of the family: Transfer RNA (tRNA) molecules are approximately 80 nucleotides in length. The record is from Rfam by way of RNAcentral. Lineage: Eukaryota; Metazoa; Chordata; Mammalia; Artiodactyla; Camelidae.